RNAcentral lists this ribosomal RNA (376 nucleotides) under uncultured bacterium. RNAcentral describes it as "bacterial SSU rRNA". It matches the Rfam family "Bacterial small subunit ribosomal RNA", at positions 521 to 896 of the family's 1533-position model. The record is from RNAcentral.
UAAUACAGAGGGUGCAAGCGUUAAUCGGAAUUACUGGGCGUAAAGGGUGCGUAGGUGGUCUAUUAAGUUAUAUGUGAAAACCCCGGGCUUAACCUGGGAACUGCAUGUAAAACUGGUAGGCUAGAGUGCAGUAGAGGGAAGUGGAAUUUCAGGUGUAGCGGUGAAAUGCGUAGAUAUCUGAAGGAACAUCAGUGGCGAAGGCGACUUCCUGGACUGUUACUGACACUGAGGCACGAAAGCGUGGGGAGCAAACAGGAUUAGAUACCCUGGUAGUCCACGCCGUAAACGAUGAGAACUAGAUGUUGGGGGGCUUGACCUCUCAGUAUCGUAGCAAACGCGAUAAGUUCUCCGCCUGGGGAGUACGGCCGCAAGGUUA